Molecule: long non-coding RNA, 1107 nt
Filed under: Durio zibethinus
Lineage: Eukaryota; Viridiplantae; Streptophyta; Magnoliopsida; Malvales; Malvaceae
Description: long non-coding RNA (DZIB_LNC000938)
Source: RNAcentral
UAGACGUCACUGUUAUAAGCUGCACCGAUUAGUAUAUAUAGGGAUCGGCAUGGACCUUUUUUUUUCAUCAAACAGACAACACAAAAUUUCUCAACCAACAAACAAGUUUUAGCUCUGCCAGCUAGAUUAACAAACCAAGCCUUCCCAACCGAGCUAAUCACAAAUCCUAAUGGCCGGAAACGUCAAGUCUUUCUGCUUUGUCCUUGUUCUUCUUCUAACUUCAUCGCUUUUCACUUCUGGGACUCGUCCUCUCACCGAUGUUGCAGAGUCAGGCAGCUCUAUAGCCAAAGGGAUCAAGGCUUUCUUGGAUGGUUCGAGCCUUCAAGGAAUCAAGAGCGGAAGUCCAAGUCAAGGAGGAGAAGGUCAUGCAUUUAGUAAUGCUGUCACGAACUCGGGUCCAAGUCCUGGAGGAAAAGGUCAUGCAUUUACUAAUGCUUUCAUGAACUCAGGUCCAAGCUCCGGCGGUGGUGGACAUUAAGCUAGCGGCAGAUGCAAAGCCUGCAACAGCGCUCUCUGAUGUGUCUUAGGCGUCUCUAUUUGUCUAAUUCAUUUUUUAUUUUGUUCAUUUUGGAUUUUGGUCAUUCUAUUGUAAUGUUUCAAUAAGUUUAGGCGUGGUUUCUGGCAAUUAAUAGUCUAGUCCAUAGCGAGUUUGCAUUCUGCCAUAUCUAGUUUUUGUGAUUCUGAGUCAUGUAUGACAGUUUUGUUUUGAUCUGAUAGCUAUUCUUCCUUCAAAUAUUAUUAAGUUCAUGGUAUAAACAUUUUCUUUGUUACUUGUUCAACUCUGUUUUCUCGCAUUUUGAGAGAGAAACAGAGACAUUUUGCAGUGUAUCAUAUCUUUCAAAAAAAUUAGACUUAAUUUUAUUUGAUUAAAUGAAAAAAUAAUUCUUUAAAAAAUAAUAUUACUACUACUUUAAAUGUAAAAAAGAAAAGAAAAAACUAAAAUAUUAGCAGUAGCAUAGCAUUUAACAAUUACACGUGGAUGGCCGGUUGGGGUUUUUUGGUUUAAUGAUUAAAGCCCAAUGGGCUUUACAGUAAAAAGAAGCCCACAUUUGGGCCUAAAAGCCCAGAGUUCACAGUCAAAAGAAACCCUAGAAAAUUCCCCAAUUG